GCUAUAGUAGUUUAUUUUAGAAUUUGUAACUUGUAAUUACAAGGUAAUUUUAUUUAGCA
This 59-nucleotide transfer RNA is filed under the name Bunostomum trigonocephalum (sheep hookworm). Its description in RNAcentral is "tRNA-Thr". Lineage: Eukaryota; Metazoa; Nematoda; Chromadorea; Rhabditida; Ancylostomatidae. The record is from RNAcentral.